This 395-nucleotide ribosomal RNA is filed under the name uncultured bacterium. RNAcentral describes it as "bacterial SSU rRNA". It matches the Rfam family "Bacterial small subunit ribosomal RNA", at positions 28 to 428 of the family's 1533-position model. The record is from RNAcentral.
GACGAACGCUGGCGGCGUGCUUAACACAUGCAAGUCGAGCGGUAAGGCCCUUUCGGGGGUGCACGAGCGGCGAACGGGUGAGUAACACGUGGGUGACCUGCCCUUAGCUCUGGGAUAAGCCUGGGAAACUGGGUCUAAUACCGGAUAUGACUCCAUGACGCAUGUUGUGGGGUGGAAAGCCUUGUGCGGCUAGGGAUGGGCCCGCGGCCUAUCAGCUUGUUGGUGGGGUGAUGGCCACCAAGGCGACGACGGGUAGCCGGCCUGAGAGGGCGACCGGCCACACUGGGACUGAGACACGGCCCAGACUCCUACGGGAGGCAGCAGUGGGGAAUCUUGCGCAAUGGGCGAAAGCCUGACGCAGCGACGCCGCGUGAGGGAUGACGGCCUCGGUGUAA